CGUACAUGUUCUGUGGUGUUCAGUGUCUCUCGCUUGCACUCUCUCGCUCUCUCUGCAAUAAAAGACGUAGACAUGGCUUCCAUUGUUGCAAGUUUGCCUCCUCCAGCACUGGUGGUCCCUGGUAGAAGCAUCCUUUUCAGGAAUCCUCUAAAACUUCUAGUUUCUCCCAUUAGAGAGAGACAGAAUUGUGUGGCUGUUGUUGUGAAGGCUGCUGGAGAAAGCUCCGAGUCAUCAACCUCUCUUAGCAUUGUUAAGUCCGUACAGAAUAUUUGGGAUAAAUCCGAAGAUCGGCUGGCCAUUGUUGGCUUGGGGUUUGCAGCUAUAGUAGCUCUAUG
This 335-nucleotide unclassified non-coding RNA is filed under the name Hevea brasiliensis (rubber tree). The record is from RNAcentral. Lineage: Eukaryota; Viridiplantae; Streptophyta; Magnoliopsida; Malpighiales; Euphorbiaceae.